RNAcentral lists this ribosomal RNA (505 nucleotides) under Frigoribacterium sp. BL_A. RNAcentral describes it as "bacterial SSU rRNA". It matches the Rfam family "Bacterial small subunit ribosomal RNA", at positions 8 to 524 of the family's 1533-position model. The record is from RNAcentral. Lineage: Bacteria; Bacillati; Actinomycetota; Actinomycetes; Micrococcales; Microbacteriaceae.
AGAGUUUGAUCCUGGCUCAGGCAGAUAGCCGGCGGCGUGCUUAACACAUCGCAGUCGAACGAUGACCUCCAGCUAGCAGGAAGUGAUCAGUGGCGAACGGGUGAGUAACACGUGAGUAACCUGCCCUUGACUCUGGGAUAAGCACUGGUAACGGUGUCUAAUACCGGAUACGAACCUCAGCCGCAUGUCUAGAGGGUUGGAAAGAAUUUUGGUCAAGGAUGGACUCGCGGCCUAUCAGCUAGUAGAUGAGGUAACGGCCCACCAAGGCGACGACGGGUAGCCGGCCUGAGAGGGUGACCGGCCACACUGAGACUGAGACACGGCCCAGACUCCUACGGGAGGCAGCAGUGGGGAAUAUUGCACAAUGGGCGAAAGCCUGAUGCAGCAACGCCGCGUGAGGGACGACGGCCUUCGGGUUGUAAACCUCUUUUAGUAGGGAAGAAGCGAAAGUGACGGUACCUGCAGAAAAAGCACCGGCUAACUACGUGCCAGCAGCCGCGGUAAU